Molecule: non-coding RNA, 32 nt
Filed under: Homo sapiens (human)
Lineage: Eukaryota; Metazoa; Chordata; Mammalia; Primates; Hominidae
Source: RNAcentral
UGAAAUGGAUUGAGCUACUCCUGCUUCACGUA